RNAcentral lists this ribosomal RNA (301 nucleotides) under uncultured bacterium. Its description in RNAcentral is "partial 16S ribosomal RNA". It matches the Rfam family "Bacterial small subunit ribosomal RNA", at positions 509 to 808 of the family's 1533-position model. The record is from RNAcentral.
CAGUAGCCGCGGUAAAACGUAGGUCCCGAGCGUUGUCCGGAUUUAUUGGGCGUAGAGCGAGCGCAGGCGGUUAGAUAAGUCUGAAGUUAAAGGCUGUGGCUUAACCAUAGUACGCUUUGGAAACUGCUUAACUUGAGUGCAGAAGGGGAGAGUGGAAUUCCAUGUGUAGCGGUGAAAUGCGUAGAUAUAUGGAGGAACACCGGUGGCGAAAGCGGCUCUCUGGUCUGUAGCUGACGCUGAGGCUCGAAAGCGUGGGGAGCAAACAGGAUUAGAUACCCCCGUAGUCCCUGUCUCUUAUACA